UGGGCAACCUGCCCUCAGCUCUGGGAUAACUCCAAGAAAUUGGGGCUAAUACCGGAUGUGACCGCUGACCGCAUGGUCUGGUGGUGGAAAGAUUUAUCGGCUGGGGAUGGGCCCGCGGCCUAUCAGCUUGUUGGUGGGGUAGUGGCCUACCAAGGCGACGACGGGUAGCCGGCCUGAGAGGGUGACCGGCCACACUGGGACUGAGACACGGCCCAGACUCCUACGGGA
This 228-nucleotide ribosomal RNA is filed under the name uncultured bacterium. RNAcentral describes it as "partial 16S ribosomal RNA". It matches the Rfam family "Bacterial small subunit ribosomal RNA", at positions 118 to 346 of the family's 1533-position model. The record is from RNAcentral.